This 296-nucleotide long non-coding RNA is filed under the name Capsicum annuum. RNAcentral describes it as "long non-coding RNA (CANN_LNC020142)". The record is from RNAcentral. Lineage: Eukaryota; Viridiplantae; Streptophyta; Magnoliopsida; Solanales; Solanaceae.
GUAACCUUUUCCUCCAUUGCAGCCUAUUCCACCUUGUAGCUUUCUUCUUCUACACAAUUUCUUCCACUCCUCUUCUUAUUUCUUCUUCUUUCAUCUUCAUCUCACCUUACUCCACCACUUCUAUUCCAUCACUCCUUAGGUAAUCCGCUAUUGAUUUUACAAGAACCAACAUCAAAAUCAUCACUGCAACAAUCUUCUUCACAACACUUAUUAUUGAUAUUUUGCCAUUAUCACCACAGUACCAAUUCAGAAGGAAAUUUUUUCGUAAUUUUUAAUUAAUAUUUUGCAGCUUCAAG